UACGUAGGGUGCGAGCGUUAAUCGGAAUUACUGGGCGUAAAGCGUGCGCAGGCGGUUCGUUGUGUCGGCGGUGAAAGCCCCGGGCUUAACCUGGGAACUGCAUUGGUGACUGCAUUGCUAGAGUAUGGCAGAGGGGGGUGGAAUUCCACGUGUAGCAGUGAAAUGCGUAGAGAUGUGGAGGAACACCGAUGGCGAAGGCAGCCCCCUGGGCCAAUACUGACGCUCAUGCACGAAAGCGUGGGGAGCAAACAGG
Molecule: ribosomal RNA, 253 nt
Filed under: uncultured bacterium
Lineage: Bacteria
Description: partial 16S ribosomal RNA
Rfam family: Bacterial small subunit ribosomal RNA
Source: RNAcentral